Long non-coding RNA from Gallus gallus (chicken), 683 nucleotides. NCBI's taxonomy places the organism in Eukaryota, Metazoa, Chordata, Aves, Galliformes, Phasianidae. The record is from Ensembl.
CAUUUUCCUUGGCAGGGAGUUGAGGGAAUGUUUCCAGCUAGGUUAUGAUAUCUUCAUCGUGCACUGUUAUCAAGGCUUGCAUUUCCUGGUGUCAAGCCACAGAGCUGGAGAUACGCUGCUCUUUCUGCACCAGGGCUAUCCAGAGUUGUAUGCUACGUAUGUGCUGCUCCACAAAGCCCUUUGUUAUUGCUGCAGUCUUCUCCACUGGCUUUCAAAAUAUUCUCCAAACAGAGCAGUUUGGUGUGAAUGCAUUCUCCUUUGCUAGAAGAUUGAUUAUCAAGAAAUCAUGCCUGAAAGAUUUUUAAUUUACCUUCGACAUCUAGAGGGAACUGAUGUUCAGACAUGCAAUAUGAUGAAGUACAGUCUAGUUUACAUCAGAAAACUGUUAAUCUUGCCAACUGGACCCCUAAUUAGAAAGAAGCAAAGCAUUUGCGGUGAGCGACAGAUUAACUGAGAAAUUCAGAUCAGAAUUAUUCAGAAUCCUGAGUCAAAUUCAGUCAAUAACUGAGCAGAAUUAAAAAGAUCUUGAAACGCAAGCAUAUAGAAUAUACUUUGAUGCUUAAUUGCUUAUUUCUACAGGCUUUUUAAAUUAUUUAACCUUUAGGAAAUUGAAUCAAACCAUUAUAAAAAUGGAACUCUUAGUUAUUUUGUCUCUGGUUUUGUUAAGAAAUAAAUGUUUGCUU